AACUGAUUCAGCCCGUUGCGCGUUACUGUUCGAUUUUGAGACUGACUGGUUAGUCAUGUGUGAAGAGUAUAAUGUGAAACGCAGAAUUAUCGAUGAAAGAAAUAUGGUUCCUUUUGUUCGUACUGUUGAGAACUUCGUAAUGGCAACCGACUUUCGGAUCACUUCUUUUUAAGUUCUAUAUGUUGCAUUGGUAACUUUAUCGAAGACUGAAUCCACUUUUUGGUUCACAAGAUGGAGAGUGGCGAAAUGUUUAGUGGUCAGACAUUUUUGCAUCACGUCUUCGAACAUGAUAUGUCAAGGCGUCUCGAUGAUAGCCAUUCUUCGACUGCGAUAAGAAAAACAUCGUGUUUGCGCUUCUGUGGUGAUGUUCACCAAAAUGAUGUGUCAAAUAAGUGUUUUCUAUCCCUUGUACUUUGUUAAAACUUGAAAACUUAUCCCUAUAUUUCGCUAAACUGUUACCAUUAAUGAAUCGGCUUUCGUCCAUCAAUACAUGUAUAAAGUAUGGCUGUGUUGCUCCGUUCUCGUUGGCGAAGAAUGUAGUGGUUCAUAAGCAAGGUGUAUGAUAGGUGAUAAGUGUAAGUUGUUUUGACGCUGGUGUUUUUUUAAGAGUAACACCAACCGGUCUUAGUAAUCUCAUUCGUUUCAUAGUUAUUGAGAAGGCUGUGGGCGCAAUAGUUAAUACACGGAAAUCAACUUUUCAUCCACAUUAUUAUUCAUGUUGUCUUCGUUGUAUCGUGAAUAGUGUAUAAUGUGUGCUGUAUUUGUACUGUGAAAAUAGUGAAGUUUCAAAAAUGCAGCCCUCCAGAAGUAUACCAAGUAACAUGAGUGAGAUAUGUAGGUUGUGUUUGUCAAGUGAGGGUAGCAUUCUGCCAAUAUUUGGUGAAGAGGAGGCGGAAGAGCCGCAUAUCCCCCUGUCCUUCAGGAUUCUGGCGUGCGUUUCUGUCGAGGUUACACACAGUGAUGGACUGCCUUCUCUGAUAUGCCAGCAAUGUUUGAAGCAAGUAGAUUCAUGGACAGAGUUCAAGCAACAGUGUGAUGCUUCUCAGGCAACUCUGAAGGAAUGGCAGCGUGCUGCAGAAGCUGCAGCUGCACUGGAUUCCUCUACCAAUGGUACCCCAGACCGUGUUGUAACUUCUGUUUCCGAUGUCACAGAUCUUGGCAGCCAAUCAUCCCCUGCUGCCAACAAGAUCUCAUCACGAAGGAGACACUUCAUUGCUGUGGAUCAAGUCAAGGAAACUACAAUAAAGCAGGAGCCCCCGGAUGAUUAUGGGAAUGACGAUGAUGAUAUUUUGGAAGACGAGGAAGAAGAGGAGGAAGAGGAUGAUGAUAGCAUGACUGAACUCGUUGAUGAUGCUGAGAGUGUUUCUUCCUGUGAAGAUGAUAGAAGAAUGUAUUCACAUGUACCUGUGGAAAUAAAACAGGAAGAGAUAGAAGUUUCUGAUGGAAGUGAUAAUGAAUAUUCACAUAAUUCUCAAGUUGCUGGAAGUUCCACUCAGGUUGACUCAGGAUUGAGCAAAAAUGUAGUAAAAACUGAACGAGAAGGUUCAGUAACUGAAGCUGGCAACCAUCACGGUCAGUCGCAGCGGCUAACACGUCGUCCACGGAGACUCUUCCUUGCUCGUAAAAAACGUUUUGGGCUAAGUUCGGGUGGAUCAAAAAUAUUCCCUUGUCAUGUCUGCAAUAAAGGUUUUGGGAGAAAAUCACACGCAAUUCGCCAUGAAAUGUCACACAGCCAUAUGAUUCAACUUUCUCAGACAACUUCUGGAAAUUCCUGUUUGAUGUGCAACAAGACUUUCUCAAAUCGUUCAAAUUUGGACCGCCACCUGCGUUUACACAGAGGCCAUCAGUUGCAAACUGCCCUUGAGCUUGGAAAUACAAGGCAGAAUGGACCAUCCUGGCAAAAUUCAGAACCAAACACUGGACAAGCAGUAGAAAGUGGCUCAGCAGAGCCAGAAGCUGAUUAUUAUUGUUACUUGUGUGGCAAAACCUUCCUUUCGCAGUAUCGCCUAAAGAUGCAUAUGGGCCAGCAUUCAAACUACAAAUGCCCAAAAUGUGGCAAAUGCUUCAAGGGUGGCACUGCCCUUUCCAACCAUCUACGCAUUCAUAACAUAAGGGGCUUUGUGAAGCACACAUGCCGAUUUUGCAUGAGAUCAUUUGCCUCAUUAGCGGCAAUGAUGAGUCACCGAAAGACACACUACCGAGCGGGUGCAGCUUCAGUGCAUACCUCCAGUGCACAACCACCACCAGUACCACCGGCACCUCCAGCUCAUGCAACAUCGGCACCCACACCAGUGCCAGCGCAGUUGUCAGUUUCACAGCAGUCAACAACACCUAUGACAGAGACAGAUUCAUCUCGUGGCAAUGCUGUAUUGUGCCGCCUUUGCAAUAAGUGGUUUAACAGUUUCUCAAUGCUCGAGCAGCACUUGGUAACACAUUCGACAAAUAAGCCGUAUUCAUGUUCAGUGUGUGGACUUCUGUUGGGAUACGCCUCAUCAGUAUACAAACACAUGCGUAAGAUGCACGGUGUUACUGUUGACUAUCAUACAAUUCGCCAGCAACUUCUUGGUACUGUCCCACCAGCAGGACCUCCUGCCCCACGGAUCAAUCCGCCUUUCUGUGGGCCAGCUGUGCAGAGCCGACCAGAACAGCCUGUUCCACAACCAACGACAUUUCCAUGCACAUUUUGUUCUCGGACGUUUACUCAUAAAUCAUUUUUAGCAGCGCACAUCCGAGCAACUCAUACAGGAACAAAUGGUACUCACCAGUGCCAGCUCUGUGGACAUGCUUUUGCUCAUCGCUACCUGCUACUUCGUCACAUAAAGACUCACGGUGGCUUCACGUGCCUUGUUUGCAUGAAGCAGUUUUCUGAUCUGAGAACACUAAACAAUCACAAAGGAGUACAUAAGCGAUUCAAAUUGCUUCAGUGCCCAUUGUGUAGCCAAAGUUUCAAUGGUGUACAACGGUUGGAGGCCCAUAAAGCACAGGCUCACCCUCUUGCAAAUGCAGGCUCAAUAGGAAUAUCAUACCUGUUUCAUUGUGACACUUGUGGUGAACGUUUUGCAACACGAUCAGAGCUUGCCCAACACAGAGAGAGCCAUAUUAGCCUCAAGUUGUACACUUGUCAAGUUUGCAAGAACUCAUAUAACAGCUCCUCAGCACUCAGCAAACAUAAACGCAAACAUGGACAUUAUGAAUCAUCCGAAAAUGUGGGAGAUAUGCCAGAUAAUAAGCCAUUUGUGUGCUCUGAAUGUGGAAAAGUUUUCACUGAUGCAGAAACGUACACACGCCACCAGGCUGUGCACAGACGGAGGAGCACUCCCACACCUUUAAUUGGUGGUUCAACUCCUUCAACAGCAAAUUCUCCAGCAGAGAGCAGUCACUGUACACUAUGCAACCGCACAUUCCGUGAUCAUCUUAGUCUCAUUCGACAUAAGGGCUGGCAUACUCGUCGACCGAAUCAGAUUCCUGUCGUCGUGAACCAUGAUGUUUCAGAAGAAACAACAUCAGCAGCAGUACUUGCAGAUGCAAGCUCACCAAACAGCCGCCUCUAUCCAUGUGACUACUGCAACAAAUCCUACAGCAAUGCAGGCUCAUUGUCCAAACAUAGACGAACGAACUGUCCCCGUCUACAUGUCAGUAAUGUUGAACAGACAGACAUGGAACCAGAAACAUUGGACCAAGAAGAUGAAGAUGAGGACAUAAAGCCUGUGUUACAACCUCUUGUAGUGCUUCAAGAAGAUGGGGAUGAUGGGACGCCUGUUGCAACCAGCAAUGGCCCAGUUACCAUUCCAACUGCAACUACUAGUUUUGAGAGACAUCCAUGUGCUCUGUGCCCAAAAGUAUUCCGUACACCCAAAGCACUUGUAGUGCAUCGUGGCUGGCACGCUCGGUCGCCUAGGCCGUCUCCACCUCAGCUGCCUUUUGCUGACAGCUCAUCUCGCCCAAAGGAUGACGGAGAUGGACGCUCCUACACAUUAAUGGAUGCCAGUGAAACAAUGGAUGAAAACAGACUCUACAGGAAAAUGACUGUCCAAGAAUCAGAAAUAAAUUUAACAGAUUUCAUGGCAGAAGAUGUGGCUACAGACAGUGUCAAUGACACGGCGAAUUUGCAACUCUUAAACUUGACACAUUUCAUGAUGCCACUGUCCAUGGAAUGAAUGUCUUGUGGUCUUUAAUGGAAACUGUGCAUGCAGUCCAUACAGCUGCUGAGGUGCAAUGCAUGCUGGAGAACAUUUAGUAAUACAUCAGCAUUCAGGAGGCACAAAUGUCUUGCUCAAGAUGAUCUAAUGAUUCAUAGAAGCACACCAAGCACUCAAAGUACUCCUCAAGGUGGUGGUGUCAG
This 4342-nucleotide unclassified non-coding RNA is filed under the name Schistocerca americana (American grasshopper). Its description in RNAcentral is "zinc finger protein 184-like, transcript variant X3". The record is from RNAcentral. Lineage: Eukaryota; Metazoa; Arthropoda; Insecta; Orthoptera; Acrididae.